GACGAACGCUGGCGGCGCGCCUAACACAUGCAAGUCGAACGGAGCUGAGAGGAGCUUGCUUUUCUUAGCUUAGUGGCGAACGGGUGAGUAACGCGUGAGUAACCUGCCCUGGAGUGGGGGACAACAGUUGGAAACGACUGCUAAUACCGCAUAAGCCCACGGUGCCGCAUGGCACUGCGGGAAAAGGAUUUAUUCGCUUCAGGAUGGACUCGCGUCCAAUUAGCUAGUUGGUGAGGUAACGGCCCACCAAGGCGACGAUUGGUAGCCGGACUGAGAGGUUGAACGGCCACAUUGGGACUGAGACACGGCCCAGACUCCUACGGGAGGCAGCAGUGGGGGAUAUUGCACAAUGGGGGAAACCCUGAUGCAGCGACGCCGCGUGGAGGAAGAAGGUUUUCGGAUUGUAAACUCCUGUCGUUAGGGACGAUAAUGACGGUACCUAACAAGAAAGCACCGGCUAACUACGUGCCAGCCGCCGCCGUAA
Molecule: ribosomal RNA, 484 nt
Filed under: uncultured bacterium
Lineage: Bacteria
Description: partial 16S ribosomal RNA
Rfam family: Bacterial small subunit ribosomal RNA
Source: RNAcentral